This 478-nucleotide ribosomal RNA is filed under the name Nala lividipes. RNAcentral's name for it is "partial 16S ribosomal RNA". It matches the Rfam family "Bacterial large subunit ribosomal RNA", at positions 1848 to 2587 of the family's 2925-position model. Lineage: Eukaryota; Metazoa; Arthropoda; Insecta; Dermaptera; Labiduridae. The record is from RNAcentral.
AAAGGUAUAAUCUGCCCCCUGAGUAUUUAAAUGGCCGCGGUAUUUUGACCGUGCAAAGGUAGCAUAAUCAAUAGCCUUUUAAUUGGAGGCUGGAAUGAAAGAUUGAAUGAGGUGAGCUCUGUCUCAGAGUGAAUUAUGGAAUUUGAUUUUUUUGUAAAAAAGCAAAAAUAAAUUAAAAAGACGAGAAGACCCUAUAGAUCUUUAUAUAGAAUUUAAAUCAAUAUAUUUAAAAAGAGAAAGAAAAUGAUUUGAGUAAAUAUUAAAUUGGGGUGAUUAAAAAAACAGAAUGAACUUUUUGAAAUUAAACAGAGAUGGCUGGGUAAAAGAUCCGGAGAGACCGAAAAUCAGAUUAAGAUACCUUAGGGAUAACAGCGUAAUCUUCUUUGAGAGUUCAUAUUGACAAGAGGGGUUGCGACCUCGAUGUUGGAUUAAGGGGAAAGCUUGGUGCAGCAGUCAAGUAUUUUAGUCUGUUCGACUA